ACACUAACAAUCCUUCGGGUGCGUUAAUGGGCGUCGAGCGGCGGACGGGUGAGUAAUGCCUAGGAAAUUGCCUUGAUGUGGGGGAUAACCAUUGGAAACGAUGGCUAAUACCGCAUAAUGCCUACGGGCCAAAGAGGGGGAYCUUCGGGCCUCUCGCGUCAAGAUAUGCCUAGGUGGGAUUAGCUAGUUGGUGAGGUAAUGGCUCACCAAGGCGACGAUCCCUAGCUGGUCUGAGAGGAUGAUCAGCCACACUGGAACUGAGACACGGUCCAGACUCCUACGGGAGGCAGCAGUGGGGAAUAUUGCACAAUGGGCGAAAGCCUGAUGCAGCCAUGCCGCGUGUAUGAAGAAGGCCUUCGGGUUGUAAAGUACUUUCAGUUGUGAGGAAGGGGGURNYGUUAAUAGCRYYAUCUCUUGACGUUAGCAACAGAAGAAGCACCGGCUAACUCCGUGCCAGCAGCCGCGGUAAUACGGAGGGUGCGAGCGUUAAUCGGAAUUACUGGGCGUAAAGCGCAUGCAGGUGGUUCAUUAAGUCAGAUGUGAAAGCCCGGGGCUCAACCUCGGAACUGCAUUUGAAACUGGUGAACUAGAGUACUGUAGAGGGGGGUAGAAUUUCAGGUGUAGCGGUGAAAUGCGUAGAGAUCUGAAGGAAUACCA
RNAcentral lists this ribosomal RNA (657 nucleotides) under Vibrio sp. RNAcentral's name for it is "bacterial SSU rRNA". The record is from RNAcentral. Lineage: Bacteria; Pseudomonadati; Pseudomonadota; Gammaproteobacteria; Vibrionales; Vibrionaceae.